Molecule: ribosomal RNA, 323 nt
Filed under: uncultured bacterium
Lineage: Bacteria
Description: bacterial SSU rRNA
Rfam family: Bacterial small subunit ribosomal RNA
Source: RNAcentral
AAUCAACGCUGGCGGCGUGCCUCAGACAUGCAAGUCGAACGCUGCUGUUCGCCUUCGGGUGGACAGCGGAGUGGCGCACGGGUGAGUAACACGUAGGUAAUCUACCUUUGGGUGGGAAUAACAGCCGGAAACGGCUGCUAAUACCGCAUAAUGCAGCGGCAUCACAUGAUGACAGUUGUUAAAGCGAGGGAUCGUAAGACCUCGCGCCUGAAGAGGAGCCUGCGGCAGAUUAGGUAGUUGGUGAGGUAAUGGCUCACCAAGCCUGCGAUCUGUAACCGGCCUGAGAGGGCGGUCGGUCACACUGACACUGACAUACGGGUCAG